This 162-nucleotide ribosomal RNA is filed under the name Serendipita sp. RNAcentral's name for it is "partial large subunit ribosomal RNA". It matches the Rfam family "Eukaryotic large subunit ribosomal RNA", at positions 104 to 261 of the family's 3401-position model. Lineage: Eukaryota; Fungi; Basidiomycota; Agaricomycetes; Sebacinales; Serendipitaceae. The record is from RNAcentral.
AAAGCUCAAAUUUUGAAUCUGGCGCCUUUGGCUCCCGAGUUGUAAUCUAGAGAAGUGUUUUCCGUAGCGGACCGUGUAAAAGUUCCCUGGAACGGGACGUCAUAGAGGGUGAGAAUCCCGUACAUGCCACGGACUACCGUUGCUCUGUGAUACACUCUCAAC